This 531-nucleotide ribosomal RNA is filed under the name uncultured bacterium. Its description in RNAcentral is "partial 16S ribosomal RNA". It matches the Rfam family "Bacterial small subunit ribosomal RNA", at positions 355 to 874 of the family's 1533-position model. The record is from RNAcentral.
UGGGGAAUAUUGCACAAUGGGCGCAAGCCUGAUGCAGCCAUGCCGCGUGUGUGAAGAAGGCCUUCGGGUUGUAAAGCACUUUCAGCGAGGAGGAAGGUGGUGAGCUUAAUACGUCAUCAAUUGACGUUACUCGCAGAAGAAGCACCGGCUAACUCCGUGCCAGCAGCCGCGGUAAUACGGAGGGUGCAAGCGUUAAUCGGAAUUACUGGGCGUAAAGCGCACGCAGGCGGUUUGUUAAGUCAGAUGUGAAAUCCCCGGGCUCAACCUGGGAACUGCAUUUGAAACUGGCAAGCUAGAGUCUCGUAGAGGGGGGUAGAAUUCCAGGUGUAGCGGUGAAAUGCGUAGAGAUCUGGAGGAAUACCGGUGGCGAAGGCGGCCCCCCUGGACGAAGACUGACGCUCAGGUGCGAAAAGCGUGGGGAGCAAAACAGGAUUAGAUACCCUGGUAGUCCACGCUGUAAAACGAUGUCGAUUUUGGAGGUUGUGCCCUUGAGGCGUGGCUUCCGGAGCUAACGCGUUAAAUCGACCGCCU